AAUCGAAAGAUGAAGUAUAGGAGCUGACGCCUGCCCAGUGCUGGAAGGUUAAGGGGAAGAGUUAAGACUUGAUCUGAAGCUUAGAACCAAAGCCCCAGUGAACGGCGGCCGUAACUAUAACGGUCCUAAGGUAGCGAAAUUCCUUGUCAGGUAAGUUCUGACCCGCACGAAAGGCGUAAUGAUUUGGGCACUGUCUCGACAAUGUACCCGGCGAAAUUGUAGUACUAGUGAAGAUGCUAGUUACCUGCGACAAGACAGAAAGACCCCAUGGAGCUUUACUGCAGCUUGAUACUGGGUUUCGGUAAUUUAUGUACAGGAUAGGUGGGAUGCUAAGAAGUAUGUGCGCCAGCGCAUAUGGAGCAGACGUUGGGAUACCACCCUUAAAUUACUGGAAUUCUAACUAUAAGUCCUAAGCGGGCUUGAGGACAAUGUCAGGCGGGCAGUUUGACUGGGGCGGUCGCCUCCUAAAGAGUAACGGAGGCGCCCAAAGGUUUCCUCAGCGCGGACAGAAAUCGCGCGAAAGAGUGCAAAGGCAGAAGGAAGCUUAACUGAGAGACAGACAUGUCGACCAGAUACGAAAGUAGGUCUUAGUGAUCCGGUGGUUGUAAGUGGAAAUGCCAUCGCUCAACGGACAAAAGUUACCCUGGGGAUAACAGGCUUAUCUCCCCCAAGAGUUCACAUCGACGGGGAGGUUUGGCACCUCGAUGUCGGCUCAUCGCAUCCUGGAGCUGAAGUCGGUUCCAAGGGUUGGGCUGUUCGCCCAUUAAAGCGGUACGCGAGCUGGGUUCAGAACGUCGUGAGACAGUUCGGUCCUUAUCUGUCGCAGGCGAAGGAUAUUUGAAGGGAGUUGACCUUAGUACGAGAGGACCAGGUUGAAGGAACCGAUGGUGCACCAGUUGUACUACCAAGUGCAUAGCUGGAUAGCUAAGUUCCGAAGGGAUAAACGCUGAAAGCAUCUAAGUGUGAAGCCCACCCUAAGAUAAGAUAUCCCAUAUCGAAAGAUAGUAAGAUUCCAAUAAGACUAAUUGGUAGAUAGGUUGGAGGUGUAAGUAUAGUGAUAUAUUGAGCUGACCAAUACUAAUAAAUCGAGGGCUUAACUAU
Molecule: ribosomal RNA, 1101 nt
Filed under: human metagenome
Description: bacterial LSU rRNA
Rfam family: Bacterial large subunit ribosomal RNA
Source: RNAcentral